CCAACAGGGAUUGCCUCAGUAACGGCGAGUGAAGCGGCAAGAGCUCAAAUUUGAAAGCUGGCCCCUUCGGGGUCCGCGUUGUAAUUUGCAGAGGAUGCUUCGGGUGCAGCCCCCGUCUAAGUGCCCUGGAACGGGCCGUCAUAGAGGGUGAGAAUCCCGUCUGGGACGGGGUGUCUGCGUCCGUGUGAAGCUCCUUCGAAGAGUCGAGUUGUUUGGGAAUGCAGCUCUAAAUGGGUGGUAAAUUUCAUCUAAAGCUAAAUACUGGCCGGAGACCGAUAGCGCACAAGUAGAGUGAUCGAAAGAUGAAAAGCACUUUGAAAAGAGAGUUAAACAGCACGUGAAAUUGUUGAAAGGGAAGCGUUUGCGACCAGACUCGCUCGCGGGGUUCAGCCGGCAUUCGUGCCGGUGUACUUCCCCGUGGGCGGGCCAGCGUCGGUUUGGGCGGCCGGUCAAAGGCCCUCGGAAUGUAUCACCUCUCGGGGUUGUCUUAUAGCCGAGGGUGCAAUGCGGCCUGCCCGGACCGAGGAACGCGCUUCGGCUCGGACGCUGGCGUAAUGGUCGUAAAUGACCCGUC
RNAcentral lists this ribosomal RNA (574 nucleotides) under Aspergillus udagawae. RNAcentral describes it as "eukaryotic LSU rRNA". It matches the Rfam family "Eukaryotic large subunit ribosomal RNA", at positions 65 to 653 of the family's 3401-position model. Lineage: Eukaryota; Fungi; Ascomycota; Eurotiomycetes; Eurotiales; Aspergillaceae. The record is from RNAcentral.